This 618-nucleotide ribosomal RNA is filed under the name uncultured bacterium. RNAcentral describes it as "bacterial SSU rRNA". The stretch from base 1 to 519 matches the Rfam family "Bacterial small subunit ribosomal RNA", at positions 338 to 873 of the family's 1533-position model. The record is from RNAcentral.
CCUACGGGAGGCAGCAGUGGGGAAUAUUGGACAAUGGGCGAAAGCCUGAUCCAGCAAUGCCGCGUGAGUGAUGAAGGCCUUAGGGUUGUAAAGCUCUUUUACCAGGGAUGAUAAUGACAGUACCUGGAGAAUAAGCUCCGGCUAACUCCGUGCCAGCAGCCGCGGUAAUACGGAGGGAGCUAGCGUUGUUCGGAAUUACUGGGCGUAAAGCGUACGUAGGCGGUUAUUCAAGUCAGAGGUGAAAGCCUGGAGCUCAACUCCAGAACUGCCUUUGAAACUAGAUAGCUAGAAUCUUGGAGAGGUGAGUGGAAUUCCGAGUGUAGAGGUGAAAUUCGUAGAUAUUCGGAAGAACACCAGUGGCGAAGGCGACUCACUGGACAAGUAUUGACGCUGAGGUACGAAAGCGUGGGGAGCAAACAGGAUUAGAUACCCUGGUAGUCCACGCCGUAAACGAUGAUAACUAGCUGUUCGGGCUCUACGAGCUUGAGUGGCGCNGCUACGACAUUAAGUUAUUCCGUCCGUCGGGGUAGGUACGGUCGGCGAACGAAUUAAAACGUUAACGAAAGAAAGUUAGUACGGACGUGAGACGUCGCCGACGGACGACGACGAGGGAGGAGG